CUAAGGCGAGGCCGACAGGCGUAGUCGAUGGACAACCAGUUGAUAUUCUGGUACCGCGUUAUGACCGCCCAUGCUGAAGUCAUUGUGCUAACCAAUUUGCUCACGCCACUCUUAAGCCUUCGGGUUUUUGGGUGUGUGUGGGUCUUGGGGCCCCGGUGAUUGUAGGCAAGCGUGUUAACAGGGGUGACGCAGACAGGUAGCUGCAGUGCGCCGAUGGUUGUGCGUAUUUAAGGUUGUGGCCCGUCUUCCAGGUAAAUCCGGGGGACAUUGUGGGUGAGAACUGAUGAGGGACACACGCGUGUGUGGACUUGUGGUGAUCCUAAGCUGCCGAGAAAAGCCUCGACGUGAGGGCAUAACGCGCCCGUACCCUAAACCGACUCAGGUGGUCAGGUAGAGUAUACCGAGGCGUUCGAGUGAAUCGUGGUUAAGGAACUCGGCAAAAUUCCUCCGUAACUUCGGGAUAAGGAGGACCCCGUGACUUCCCAAUGCUUUGCGUGUUGGUGGGGUUGUGGGGUCGCAGAGAAUAGGGAGAAGCGACUGUUUAUCAAAAACACAGGUGCGUGCGAAGCCGUAAGGCGAUGUAUACGCACUGACGCCUGCCCGGUGCUGGAAGGUUAAGAGGAACUGUUAACAUUCUUUGUGGGUGUGAAGCGGUGAAUUUAAGCCCCAGUAAACGGCGGUGGUAACUAUAACCAUCCUAAGGUAGCGAAAUUCCUUGUCGGGUAAGUUCCGACCUGCACGAAUGGCGUAACGACUUCUCCGCUGUCUCAACCGCGAACUCGGUGAAAUUGCAGUACGAGUAAAGAUGCUCGUUUCGCGCAGAAGGACGGAAAGACCCCGGGACCUUUACUAUAGCUUGGUAUUGGUGUUCGCUUGGACUUGUGUAGGAUAGGUGGGAGACUGUGAAGCUGCCGCGCCAGCGGUGGUGGAGUCGUCGUUGAAAUACCAUUCUGGUUCAAGCGGUCACCUUAACCUUGGCCCGUGAUCCGGGUUGGGGACAGUGCCUGGUGGGUAGUUUAACUGGGGCGGUUGCCUCCUAAAAUGUAACGGAGGCGCUCAAAGGUUCCCUCAGCCUGGUUGGUAAUCAGGUGGCGAGUGCAAGUGUACAAGGGAGCUUGACUGUGAGACCGACGGGUCGAGCAGGUGCGAAAGCAGGAACUAGUGAUCCGGCCAUGGCACGUGGGUGCGUGGUCGCUCAACGGAUAAAAGGUACCCCGGGGAUAACAGGCUGAUCUUGCCCAAGAGUCCAUAUCGACGGCAUGGUUUGGCACCUCGAUGUCGGCUCGUCGCAUCCUGGGGCUGGAGUCGGUCCCAAGGGUUGGGCUGUUCGCCCAUUAAAGCGGUACGCGAGCUGGGUUCAGAACGUCGUGAGACAGUUCGGUCCCUAUCCUCUGUGCGCGCAGGAAAUUUGAGAAGGGCCGUCCCUAGUACGAGAGGACCGGGAUGGACGAACCUCUGGUGUGCCAGUUGUACCGCCAGGUGCAUGGCUGGUUAGCUACGUUCGGAAGGGAUAACCGCUGAAAGCAUCUAAGCGGGAAGCCUGCUUCAAGAUGAGGUUUCCACGCCCCCCAGUGGGGUGAGAGGCCCCCGCCAGACUAGCGGGUUGAUAGGCCAGAGGUGGAAGCACAGCAAUGUGCUCGUGAGCCGACUGGUACUAAUGGGCCAACACUAAACAAC
Molecule: ribosomal RNA, 1677 nt
Filed under: human metagenome
Description: bacterial LSU rRNA
Rfam family: Bacterial large subunit ribosomal RNA
Source: RNAcentral